Molecule: long non-coding RNA, 2231 nt
Organism: Papaver somniferum (opium poppy)
Lineage: Eukaryota; Viridiplantae; Streptophyta; Magnoliopsida; Ranunculales; Papaveraceae
Exons: 2
Source: RefSeq, a predicted model, not a curated record
CCAUUUUGAAAACAUCUGGUAAAAAUCAUGAGGAUUUCAUCCCGUACCAGAUCCAAUCUCAAGCAACUAGAAUCAACAUCUCUGCUGUUAGGUCUUCCCGAGGAGGUUCAUUAUGAGAUCUUUCUGAAGUUACCAGCAAAUUCCAUCCUGGUAUCCAGGUGUGUAUGUAAGGUUUUCUAUAAUCUACUUUCUAAACCUAAUUUUAUCAAGAACCAUCUCAAUCUCACUGUUCAAACUAAAAUUAACAACCCUAAACUUUUGAUUAGUCAGUACCUGCGAGGUAAGCACCCUACGAUUUACUCAAUCCCUAUAGAUUAUGCUUCAAUUUCAUCGUCAUCAUCAUCAUCAUCAUUAUCAUCAUCAUCGUCUUUAUCAAGUGUUGUAUGUAAUGGAGCUGUUCAGAUAAAUUACCCAUUUGAAUCAAUGGAAAUGAAUUAUCUUGAAUUUCUGGGUUCAGUGAAUGGUCUGAUUUGCUCAAGGAUUUCUAAGACUGAUAGAGCUGCUUAUGAAAUGGGAUAUUUUAUGGAGACUGAUUAUUUUAGUAUUUUGAACCCAUUAACAAGAGAAUUCAAGGAAUUUAAAAAACCCGAUUAUAGUUACGACGCUGUCUAUGGAUUCGGCUAUGAUAGCAACAUUGAUGAUUAUAAGCUAGUAGUAAUAUCGGAUUAUGUAAAAACUCGUUGCUUCAAAGUCAUGUUUAUACGGUGAAAAUGGAUUCAUGGAGUAGUAUUCAAGGCACAAGGAAUUACUCAUUUGGUAACGGUGGUAAAGAAUCUCAUGGUGUGUUUUUCAAUGGUUGUCUUCAUUGGUUGGGAAGUAUUGCCGCUGGAGAAACCUCGUCGGAAGUUAUUGUCUCUUUUGAUGUUAGCAAUGAGACUAUGGCGGAUAUGCUGUUGCCUGAAAAUAUUAUGCCACCUAGAGGUUAUCGGGGGGAAAUGUAUGCGAAUGUGGGAGUGUGGGGAGACUGCAUUGGUAUAACUUUUAUUUGGAGAAUUGAGAGAAUCGAUGUGUGGGUAAUGCAGGAGUAUGGAGUAAAAGAAUCUUGGAUCAAAAAAUAUACCACAACCACAACUCGACUACCAAGGCCCUUAUAUCCAUAUUGGAAGCCGCUAUGGUGUUUUGAUAAUGGGGAAAUUCUAGUAGAUAAUUCUCCCAAACAUUUAUUUUUAUGUGAUCCAGCAAAGGGAAGAGUUAGAUCAGUCGUUGUCCGCGAUAUUACCAAGGCCAAUAACCGUGAGAGUUAUGUAGAGAGCAUAGUCUCUCUUAAAUCUGGUACUUAUCUGGAGGAACGGGUUACACAGGGGAUUCCGAAGAAUUUUGAGUGACAACUUGAGAUGAACCUGAUAGCCUUGUCUGAGAAGACUCUAUGAUCUCAUUGUUUAUAAAAGUGAAUCCCUGUAACUUUAGACUGACCUUUAAGGAAGAGUCUUGUUAGAGAAUGAUCCAUGAAAGUUUCUGCGAAUGAAGAAGUUUACAGUAGUAUUGGAGUUUCAAAAUGCUAAUGAGUGAAAGCUACAAAAUUGCCUGAUCGGCUGAUAGUGGUAAGUGAAAUCAGAAAUCUUUUAGCAAUCAAUUACUGCCAAUAUACUUUCCUAUUAUAUCUAUUAAACUAGUUCGAAAUCGUUUUUAUUGUGUUGUGUGACCUUGUCUAUUUGCUUUGAGUCUGGAGCUAGUGUUGACCCUGAUAUUCCUGAUGGUAAAACUUUAAUAGGUAUUUCUAAGUGAUCAAAUGCUGGUGUCUUCUUUUGGUUGUUCAGAAUCCAAUAGACAUCAUAGCGGUUAAACAGCUAGUUGAAAUUCAAAUCUGUUAUAACGAGUAAAUCGAACCCACGACAUUCCAAGUCAUUAAAUCUCAGAAGAUAACUGUGUUUUCUUUACUGCAUUUACUUUACAAAUGUCAUCUUUAUUCGGGACUGUAAUUAGGUGUUUCUUUGUAUAUUUGGGCAGUGCGUGCGGUGGUAUCUGAUUGAUUCAACUGAUACUGUUGGAUUUUUUUUUAACCCCUUAUAGUGCUUGGUAUACAUUUUUCUUAGGGCAACACUAUUAAAAUAGAUUUUUUUGAAAACUCGAUACAUUUUAUUGUUUUAUUUUUUUCUUAAGAACACGUAGAACGCAUUCAGUAUAUCAAUAUCUGUUAUUUCAGUAUAAAUUUUGAGUUUGUAUGUUGGUUGGAUUGUACAUAAGUCUGGAUUGUGCAAAUGAUACUGCGCGCAGUUGUUGAUUCGGAUUCA